CAUAAACCUAGUGUGCGUGCAGCAUUCAGCUUGGCCUGCCUACAUAUUACACUUCUGAUAUUUGAAGAGGAAGGAGGAUUGAUGUAAAUAUGAAGCUUAUGUUAUCUACCAUGCUAUGCUUGUUGUCCUGUUUUGAUCCUCUUCAAAAGGUGGUUUAUAAUCAACUGUAAGACUUUGACAGUUGCUCUCAACAUUCUUCUAAAUAAGGAAGGAAGGAAAAGAAAGAAAGGAAGAAAGGAAGAAAGAAAGAAAGAAGAAAGAAAGAAAGAAAGAAAGGAAGGAAGAAAGAAAGAAAGAAAGAGGAGCCUGGAAAAUCCAGUUUGUAUGACCAGGGAGAAGAAUGGAUUAGAGCAGCCACUAGUCAGUCUCUUCCAAGCAAGAAGGACCACCCCUGAGCUGUUUUCCAGCUGGACAUGCCUGGACCUGUAUUCCACUCCUCUCUAAAAUGCACCUUAUUUUUCUUCAUUAAAUUCUGUUACUUAACCCUUGCUAUAUGUCUCUUAGCUAAAUUCGUUCUUCGAAGUUAGACAAGAAUGGAGGAUUCCUGCACUUCCUGGUAAAAGAAGUAUUAUGUUCCCCAAAUUGUAGGAAUAAGGAGGAUUUUAGUAUUUGUUAGGACACAUUUCUCUUACCCACUUUUGCAUGCACAUUCUUGUUAGCCGAUGAUAUUUAUGAAAUCUUCAGGGUAUAAAAUGAUCAAACAUCACGUUACUUUGCUCUACAAGAAAAAAUAUUGGGAAAGGCAUCUGAAGGGUGCACUUGAGAAAAAUGUUGAAGACAGCUGGGUUCUCAAAAGCUAUGACAAAGUAUUUUAAGAUUUGGUUGAGUGUGUGAUUUGUGUGUUUGAUUUGUGUAUUUGUGUUGAGUUGAGUGAAAAGCCAUCCUGAGUGAAAAGAAUAAAACCGGAAGAAUUGCAUUACCUGAG
Molecule: long non-coding RNA, 925 nt
Filed under: Homo sapiens (human)
Lineage: Eukaryota; Metazoa; Chordata; Mammalia; Primates; Hominidae
Description: HSALNT0321533
Source: RNAcentral